This 398-nucleotide ribosomal RNA is filed under the name uncultured bacterium. RNAcentral describes it as "bacterial SSU rRNA". It matches the Rfam family "Bacterial small subunit ribosomal RNA", at positions 358 to 773 of the family's 1533-position model. The record is from RNAcentral.
GGGAUAUUGCACAAUGGGGGGAACCCUGAUGCAGCGACGCCGCGUGGGUGAAGAAGCGCCUCGGCGCGUAAAGCCCUGUCAGCAGGGAAGAAAAUGACGGUACCUGAGUAAGAAGCCCCGGCUAACUACGUGCCAGCAGCCGCGGUAAUACGUAGGGGGCAAGCGUUAUCCGGAUUUACUGGGUGUAAAGGGAGCGUGGACGGCCAGACAAGUCUGAAGUGAAAAUCCAGCGCUUAACGUUGGAAGUGCUUUGGAAACUGCCGGGCUAGAGUGCAGGAGGGGCAGGCGGAAUUCCUAGUGUAGCGGUGAAAUGCGUAGAUAUUAGGAGGAACACCAGUGGCGAAGGCGGCCUGCUGGACUGCAACUGACGUUGAGGCUCGAAGGCGUGGGGAGCAAAC